GGGGAUAAUAACUUUGCCUAUGUGGCUCUUUCUUUCAAGGACAUAUAAGGCCUUUGCAUGUUGGGAUUUAAGUGACUGCUACAGUACGUGGACAUCAGGCCAGACAGGAUACUUUGUGUUUCACAGAUGGGAAACCUGGGGCCAAAGCAGUAUACCUCAUAGAAAUCAGUAAGCAGUUCAGUUUGGGAGAGAGGAUGCCUCCCCUGAGUAUUUUCAUUCCAUAGAAUCUCUUCUGUGCAUCUUCUCAUGGAUCAAAACACUUUCUUCUUUCCGUGUCCCUGAGGGGGCCCACGGCUGUGCGAGAAGAUGAACAAUACAGGACAGAAGGGCUGGGAAAGGAGAGAGAGCCAGGCUGUCCUGCCUACUGUCAUGGGUGUUUCCUGGGUCUCUAGAUGAAUCAGUCUCCAUAACUGGGUUCUAGGCGGUGCUGGUCCUGUAAUGAGAUCCUACCCCAUCGCUGUCUCUGUUCCCUGAUUGUGUCUCUGUGGAGCCGGCCUAGAGAGGGGGGCUAUGGUGAGAUGGGGGGAAGAGGCACUUUUCAUGCUGUAGGAACAGCUUUGAGUUGCUUAUCAGGUUGUUUGUGGUCCUGUGAUGAGCAGGUUCACACCUCUGCAGGCACGAAAGGGUUAAGCGCUGGCACUGGGUGAGGGGCUGCAGUUACGAAGAAGGUGCAGUGAAAGGUAAUGCUGACAGAGUUGCCGGGAAGGAAGAGAAAUGGAGAAGGGUGUCGGAGAGACAGGAGGGGACCGGGUGGGAGUCAUGGGCUAGCCCUCACGGAGGCAGGGGCAGUUAGACGAUGCUCUUGAAGACGGAUAACACUUCUUUUUUCGGUUUAUAGUUCUGCACCUAGAGAUAUCUGAAGUUCUUCUUCUGGUGCAUUUCCUUACAUUUAGCUUCUUUUACAGACAUAAUACUACGAUUUUCUGUGUGAGCGGUUGUUGUUCAGACACCCGAUUUCAGUGGCCACUUAAUAUUCUAUUCUGUGGCUAGUCCGCCAUUUCCUUGAAUACAACUCAACAAGAACGGCAUGGAGGGUACUUAACUCCCAAGUCUGAGUGCUGCUAGGUCAGAGCUGGGGUUUCCUCAGGCCACGUUGCUCAGUGUGGGUCCGUGGCAGUGGGGUUGAGGUCUUCUGUUCUGGGGUCUUCUCCAGCCCUGUGGUGCAGUGGGCAGCCCGGCACCUUAGUGUCCCUAGGUCACCAGCUCACUUUCUUUGACUCGCUGUAAGAGUUGGGCGCUUUUUUUCUGAGCCCCUGCUGAACUUCCAGUGUCUCUGGACCAGUGGGUCCCCAGCAGUGUUUGCAUGGGAAAUAAAAAGGUGAGAGGGUACCGCUGUCCUGGUUCUGUACGGCCUGUUAUGUAGGUAAGAAAAGUAGUUGCUUAUAUAAGUUAAGAAACGGAAAUGGAAUGUUAUCUGUGCAGCUGUCUGUCUUUCCCACUGGGCUGUAACCAUCCUUACUGCAUGACCUUGGGCUAGUUAAUCAACAUACUUACUCAACCCUCAUUUUCCAUAAAAUGGAGAUAAAAAUAGUGUCUACUUCACAGUAGGGUUUUGGGGAUUAAAUGAGAUAAAUAAGAUCCUGUGCGUGAGUGCUUAACGCAGAGGCUGGCAUCUAGUAAGUGCCCAAGAAAUGGUGACAAUUUUUGUCAUUUUUGUUAUCAUUCUGACCUUUUCUACAGCAGAGAUUGUAUAGUAUUUAUCUUUGUCGGAAAAAUUCAAUUAAGUGUUUGCUAAAUUGAACUAACUGUUCUGAGU
This 1756-nucleotide long non-coding RNA is filed under the name Phocoena sinus (vaquita). RNAcentral describes it as "lncRNA (ENSPSNG00000003261.1)". The record is from RNAcentral. Lineage: Eukaryota; Metazoa; Chordata; Mammalia; Artiodactyla; Phocoenidae.